This 172-nucleotide ribosomal RNA is filed under the name Campylobacter jejuni. RNAcentral's name for it is "partial 16S ribosomal RNA". It matches the Rfam family "Bacterial small subunit ribosomal RNA", at positions 1 to 167 of the family's 1533-position model. The record is from RNAcentral. Lineage: Bacteria; Pseudomonadati; Campylobacterota; Epsilonproteobacteria; Campylobacterales; Campylobacteraceae.
AUUAUGGAGAGUUUGAUCCUGGCUCAGAGUGAACGCUGGCGGCGUGCCUAAUACAUGCAAGUCGAACGAUGAAGCUUUUAGCUUGCUAGAAGUGGAUUAGUGGCGCACGGGUGAGUAAGGUAUAGUUAAUCUGCCCUACACAAGAGGACAACAGUUGGAAACGACUGCUAAU